This 483-nucleotide ribosomal RNA is filed under the name uncultured bacterium. Its description in RNAcentral is "partial 16S ribosomal RNA". It matches the Rfam family "Bacterial small subunit ribosomal RNA", at positions 30 to 507 of the family's 1533-position model. The record is from RNAcentral.
AUUGAACGCUGGCGGCAGGCCUAACACAUGCAAGUCGAGCGGAUGAAGGGAGCUUGCUCCUGGAUUCAGCGGCGGACGGGUGAGUAAUGCCUGGGAAUCUGCCUGGUAGUGGGGGAUAACGUCCGGAAACGGGCGCUAAUACCGCAUACGUCCUGAGGGAGAAAGUGGGGGAUCUUCGGACCUCACGCUAUCAGAUGAGCCUAGGUCGGAUUAGCUAGUUGGUGGGGUAAAGGCCUACCAAGGCGACGAUCCGUAACUGGUCUGAGAGGAUGAUCAGUCACACUGGAACUGAGACACGGUCCAGACUCCUACGGGAGGCAGCAGUGGGAAUAUUGGACAAUGGGCGAAAGCCUGAUCCAGCCAUGCCGCGUGUGUGAAGAAGGUCUUCGGAUUGUAAAGCACUUUAAGUUGGGAGGAAGGGCAGUAAGUUAAUACCUUGCUGUUUUGACGUUACCAACAGAAUAAGCACCGGCUAACUUCGUG